Small nucleolar RNA from Pyrococcus furiosus DSM 3638, 57 nucleotides. It matches the Rfam family "Small nucleolar RNA sR47". NCBI's taxonomy places the organism in Archaea, Methanobacteriati, Methanobacteriota, Thermococci, Thermococcales, Thermococcaceae. The record is from Rfam.
GCCGAUGAGGGAGUCUUUCGGGCCCUGAUUGGUGAUGAGGGCCUCCCUAUCCCGAGG